This 495-nucleotide ribosomal RNA is filed under the name uncultured bacterium. RNAcentral describes it as "partial 16S ribosomal RNA". It matches the Rfam family "Bacterial small subunit ribosomal RNA", at positions 28 to 507 of the family's 1533-position model. The record is from RNAcentral.
GACGAACGCUGGCGGCGUGCCUAAUACAUGCAAGUAGAACGCUGAAGGAGGAGCUUGCUCUUCUGGAUGAGUUGCGAACGGGUGAGUAACGCGUAGGUAACCUGCCUGGUAGCGGGGGAUAACUAUUGGAAACGAUAGCUAAUACCGCAUAAGAGUAGAUGUUGCAUGACAUUUACUUAAAAGGUGCAAUUGCAUCACUACCAGAUGGACCUGCGUUGUAUUAGCUAGUUGGUGGGGUAACGGCUCACCAAGGCGACGAUACAUAGCCGACCUGAGAGGGUGAUCGGCCACACUGGGACUGAGACACGGCCCAGACUCCUACGGGAGGCAGCAGUAGGGAAUCUUCGGCAAUGGACGGAAGUCUGACCGAGCAACGCCGCGUGAGUGAAGAAGGUUUUCGGAUCGUAAAGCUCUGUUGUAAGAGAAGAACGAGUGUGAGAGUGGAAAGUUCACACUGUGACGGUAUCUUACCAGAAAGGGACGGCUAACUACGUG